This 465-nucleotide ribosomal RNA is filed under the name uncultured bacterium. RNAcentral describes it as "partial 16S ribosomal RNA". It matches the Rfam family "Bacterial small subunit ribosomal RNA", at positions 338 to 795 of the family's 1533-position model. The record is from RNAcentral.
CCUACGGGACGCAGCAGUAGGGAAUCUUCCACAAUGGGCGAAAGCCUGAUGGAGCAACGCCGCGUGGGUGAAGAAGGUCUUCGGAUCGUAAAACCCUGUUGUUAGAGAAGAAAGUGCGUGAGAGUAACUGUUCACGUUUCGACGGUAUCUAACCAGAAAGCCACGGCUAACUACGUGCCAGCAGCCGCGGUAAUACGUAGGUGGCAAGCGUUAUCCGGAUUUAUUGGGCGUAAAGGGAACGCAGGCGGUCUUUUAAGUCUGAUGUGAAAGCCUUCGGCUUAACCGGAGUAGUGCAUUGGAAACUGGGAGACUGGAGUGCAGAAGAGGAGAGUGGAACUCCAUGUGUAGCGGUGAAAUGCGUAGAUAUAUGGAAGAACACCAGUGGCGAAAGCGGCUCUCUGGUCUGUAACUGACGCUGAGGUUCGAAAGCGUGGGUAGCAAACAGGAUUAGAUACCCUAGUAGUC